This 301-nucleotide ribosomal RNA is filed under the name uncultured bacterium. RNAcentral's name for it is "partial 16S ribosomal RNA". It matches the Rfam family "Bacterial small subunit ribosomal RNA", at positions 509 to 807 of the family's 1533-position model. The record is from RNAcentral.
CAGCAGCCGCGGGAAUACGUAGGGUGCAAGCGUUAAUCGGAAUUACUGGGCGUAAAGCGUGCGCAGGCGGUUAUAUAAGUCAGAUGUGAAAUCCCCGGGCUCAACCUGGGAACUGCAUUUGAGACUGUAUGGCUAGAGUGUGUCAGAGGGGGGUAGAAUUCCACGCGUAGCAGUGAAAUGCGUAGAUAUGUGGAGGAAUACCGAUGGCGAAGGCAGCCCCCUGGGAUAACACUGACGCUCAUGCACGAAAGCGUGGGGAGCAAACAGGAUUAGAUACCCCUGUAGUCCCUGUCUCUUAUAC